AUCUACGGCCAUACCACCCUGAAUUUGCCCAAUCUCAUCUGAUCUAGGAAGCUAAACAGGGUCGGCUUGAUUAGUACUUAGAUGGGAGACGACCUGGGAAUACCGGGUGCUUUAAAAA
Molecule: ribosomal RNA, 118 nt
Organism: Cricetulus griseus (Chinese hamster)
Lineage: Eukaryota; Metazoa; Chordata; Mammalia; Rodentia; Cricetidae
Source: Ensembl